UGGGGAAUCUUGCGCAAUGGGCGAAAGCCUGACGCAGCAACGCCGCGUGGGGGGAUGAAGGCCUUCGGGUUGUAAACCCCUUUCAGCAGGGACGAAACUGACGGUACCUGCAGAAGAAGCCCCGGCCAACUACGUGCCAGCAGCCGCGGUAAUACGUAGGGGGGCGAGCGUUGUCCGGGGAUUUAUUGGGCGUAAAGAGCUCGUAGGCGGCUUGGCAAGUCGGGUGUGAAACCUCCAGGCUCAACCUGGAGACGCCACUCGAUACUGCUAUGGCUAGAGUCCGGUAGGGGGACCACGGAAUUCCUGGUGUAGCGGUGAAAUGCGCAGAUAUCAGGAGGAACACCGGUGGCGAAGGCGGUGGUCUGGGCCGGCACUGACGCUGAGGAGCGAAAGCGUGGGUAGCAAACAGGAUUAGGAUACCCUGGUAGUCCACGCCGUAAACGUUGGGCACUAGGUGUGGGGCCUUAUCAACGGGUUCCGUGCCGUAGCUAACGC
Molecule: ribosomal RNA, 495 nt
Filed under: uncultured Actinomycetes bacterium
Lineage: Bacteria; Bacillati; Actinomycetota; Actinomycetes
Description: bacterial SSU rRNA
Rfam family: Bacterial small subunit ribosomal RNA
Source: RNAcentral